This is a long non-coding RNA of Acipenser ruthenus (sterlet), 1321 nucleotides long. RefSeq lists it as uncharacterized. The record is from RefSeq and is a predicted model, not a curated record. Lineage: Eukaryota; Metazoa; Chordata; Actinopteri; Acipenseriformes; Acipenseridae. The transcript is spliced from 3 exons.
AAAAAAAUUAAAUAAAAAUAAUUCCGUGCUGCAAUGUCAAGGGUUAGGGUUAAAGAUGACAAGGAUGGAUCAUCAGUUAAACAAAGGUUUUGUGUCUCACCAAAAAAUAUUGAAUCCUAAUCCCCCCCCAUAUGGUAAGUAGGGGGUGAACUCCCCUCUUGUUCUGUCUAUGCCUUUAAUGGAUUAAAACUGGACAUGACUGUAGUUUAAAUUGUAUUGAAUAAUUUCAAAUCUAUAUUGAAAGUUCACUUUUAAUCUGAUCGAACCUAAGCUAUUUCACGUGUGAGUUGUAAGUGUAAACAUACCAUUAAAGACCUAGGCCAGACACAAAGCAAUUGUUGGUCUUGACUCGCCUAGCACUGUAGCAGAACAGACUCGACUACAGAACCAGGCCUCAGUCCAGCACAAUUUGAAACCAUGGAUUAGCAACGAAACAUUUGUUUAAAAAAAGUUUGACCGUAAUUAGGCUUUAUCAUAUUGUUGAAUUUUAAGAUUGUGAACAUUCAGUCCUGUCGUUCUGAUCAUUUAGAAUCACUUGACAAUCUCUUUUUUCUUAAAGGAAUCAUUGUUGGUAUACUUGCUACAGUCCUAGUUACUGUUGCUGCUGCUGUGCAGUCUAUUGCCGGUGUUUCAAAAACAGGAAAGGGCUCAGCUCACCGCUACCACCCCUGCACUGACUCGGGAGGGGUGAAGAUGAACACACGCUGUCCUCCGAAGCGUGUGCCGUCAGCCGCCCGCUUCUUUACACUCUGCAGACUCACCGUGCAGCCGCCUACAGCGUCGGAGGACAACGCAGCUCUGGGCAGCUUACAGGCAAGCCCGCAGGCGCCCGGCCAGACUACAGGGGUCGCUGGUACGCGAUGAGCCGAGGAGACCCUGGCCGACCUAACCCUCCCUCCCCCCGGAUGACGCUCGGCCAAUUGAGCACCGCCCCCUGGGAGCUCCCGUCCACGGUUGGCUGUGGAAUAGCCUGGACUCGAACCGGCGACGUCCAGGCUAUAGCGAGCAUCCUGCACUCUAGCGAGUGCUUUUACUGGAUGCGCCACUCGGGAGCCCAGGAAAUCCUCUUCUCCUCCUCGUACUGAUGCUGUUUAUUAAAUUAAUGCCGUUCAUCUGAAAAGGAUUGUCUACAGUGGUGUGCAUCAAUACAGGCACUAUGAUCUGAUUUUAUUUUUAUUUCACUGAACAUUCAGUUGUGUGCACCACUCGCUUUCAGCAAUACAGUAGGGGAGGGGAGGGAGUUUGAAAUGAAUAGUUUAGUAGCUCUUGCAUUUGACAGCAUCUAAAAAUUGCAAAAUCUCUUACUGUUGCACAAUCUUUA